AGCAAGCUCUGAUCAAGAUGUCAACGUCGGAUACUCCCGAAGAUUCCCCGGCUCGCCCGGAAGAACAUUUGUUUGUAAACAGCAUAUAACGUUUCCGAUUUGCAUGAAGUAAACCAAAUCAGGGAUCGCGCCACUUGAUCCAAGCUGAUGGAGAAGAAACCAGAAUUCGAUGCGAAAUUUGCGCCAAUGUAAACGGUUUCCGUUCUUAUAAUUGCCUGAUUCUGGGAUUAUUGUGUUCACCAAAAUGAAUAAAUCAAAUAAAUAAAGUGAGUGAUGACGGAACAGAUGGAACAAAACUACAGAACCAACUAGAAAAUCAUCGAACAAUGCCGAAGAAUCCCUGGUGGGAGCGGAUGGAGCCUUUGGUGAUGAUGACAGUUUCGUUCCAGAAAACGCUCGACUCGAUCGGCUCGAGAACCAAGGGAAGCAAAAACCUGGCUGCGUCUAGGAGAAGGAAAUGGACCGGAAGAAAAGCGAAAAAUUCAGGUAAACGUUAAGUUAUCAUUCGACGUUUUCUUCAGUUUGUUAUUCGGAAGUAUCCGUGAACGUCUUUGAGGCACAAUUCAAAUUCAAGGGCCAAGCCCUCCCGAAAAAAGUCCCAAUACCCAAGUGCGAUCGAUUGCUUCCGGUUGUCCAGUGGCCCGAGCAUUUUCGCUGAACAGCUGAAAAACAUUCGCAGAGGGUAACAAUGAAGAUCGUCGGGAAAAGAGCGAGCAAACGAUGGUCCGGAUCCGUUGUUUUGUGUUAAGGAAUUAAAAAUUGUGUGAGUGUCAAAAUUUAUCAUUGUAAUUAUUCUGCAU
Long non-coding RNA from Uranotaenia lowii, 800 nucleotides. RefSeq lists it as uncharacterized. The record is from RefSeq and is a predicted model, not a curated record. The transcript has 4 exons. Lineage: Eukaryota; Metazoa; Arthropoda; Insecta; Diptera; Culicidae.